This 2541-nucleotide long non-coding RNA is filed under the name Orbicella faveolata. Its description in RNAcentral is "uncharacterized LOC110050696, transcript variant X2". The record is from RNAcentral. Lineage: Eukaryota; Metazoa; Cnidaria; Anthozoa; Scleractinia; Merulinidae.
UGACGUAGCGUGUGAAUUUGCGUGCGCAGUAAGGAUGCGCAGAAACAAUUAGCACGAACGUCUUAAAAAAAAGCGAUUCUAUCAGCUCCUGGAUUAUCUCAGUGCUCUGUAAAGCACAGACUGGUCUGACAAAAUCGAUCACGACACAAACUUGUUUAGGAAAACCUGGAUUGUCCGCAUGGGCUCUACAGAGUAUAUAUACGUAACAACUGACCUUCCAAGGGAGUCGAAUCUACCACUAAAAAUCUCUUCGGUCCUAUGUUUUUUGAUCUGUGAAGCAUAGACUGGUCCUACAUCCAAAUUGCCGGCAGAAGAUAAAAAAAUAAAUGUAUCGGAACGAUUGGACUGUCUGCAUGUGCUGAAUGGAUCUUGAGCUUUGUACAAGAGAUAUUGGGUGUAAGAACUGGCCAACAAGGGAGCUAGUUCCACCCUGCAAAUUCUCUUCCUGAGUUUCUUAAUCUGUGAAGCAUAGACUGGUCCUACAUCCAAAUUGCCGGCUCAAGAUAAAAAGACUUGUUUAGGAAGAAUUAGACUGUCUGCAUGCUUUUUACGGGUAUGGGUAAAGUAACGUACCUGUGGAAUAAGAACUUAUUCCGGGACUGUCUGCAUUCACUUUAUGGAGAGCACUUAACGUUCCUUGUUUGUGCUCGUGUAUUAUUUUCAACUCACCGCGGGUUUUUUUCCCGCAGUUUUCCAUCUUUUGUUAAAGGGAGUCAAGGAUGAAUUGAACCAAACGUGAGGGAUACAGAAGUUAACUUAAUCGUGUUUUCGCGAAACAGGAGCAAAGGCAAAGAACUUGACCGCACAGAAAUUAACGUCAGGGAGACUGGACACCAGCUUUCGGCGCUAGGAUGUCUGGGAACGUUUGAAAAGCUAAGAAAAAAGACAGCUGUCUCUGGAGUAAAAACAUUCCAGGUAAAAAGCUGUUUAAGCUAUAUCCACUAAACGUUUUUGAUCAUUGAGAUCAUCAUCAUGUCUACUGUCAUUAGUGAACUUGGAUAAAACGAAUUUUUGUCAUAAUGAAACGCCAGGGGUUUCAUCAACGUUUUCAGCAGAAGGGCAAGUGGUUUUCACAGGCGGGGAAAAACUGAACUUCUUUAUUUGCUCUAAGUGGUCAAACCAGGCGGGUAAAAAUCAUACUCGUGGCCGGUCAACUUGCCCGGUGCCCGGCCCUUAAUGAAACCGUCAGCCACAUGUUUUAGAGAAAACAAUGUCGUACAAAAAGAACAUCGCCGCGAGCUACUCUCGAACCCUUAAAAAAGUUCGUGGCGCCGGUUGAAGCCAUGUCGGCGUCAUUUCCAGUCCAUAGAUGAUAUAGGAGGUAUACGUCUUUGGUUGGCCAAAAGGUAUAUAUUGGCAGAUAAAUUAUUUGCCCUAUUCCUUCAAUAUAAGCGUUUAGGAUACACUAAAAUCUAUUACAAAUAUCUAAGGCACGGAAGGCUCAGUCAAUUUAUUGCUGUUUGUAAGAAAAAAAGUUCUUAUGUGCGUUAGGAGCAGGAUUCCCGACGCUUUGCACUGUGUGAAGCGCGCACCAAACCACUGCGCCACCCGGCUUUGACACAGAAUGCGUAGACAAAUUGAGUAGCAAUACAUACCAAUUUUGAACGCGCAUUAUGGUCAGCUGGUGGAACGUAAGCAGUGUACACUAUGUUACUUUUGUAGCGAAUGUUUUUUUGGUGACAUUUCAUCUCGAGACCAUUCAUUGAAAAAGAUCUUACUUAUCCAGACCCAAACGCGUAUGUAGGCCAUAGAACAUCCAAGUAAUUAUAGAUUUGUUAUUUUUACACCUGUCCAAAUUUUAUGAUAAACGAAUUUUAUCAUUAACGGUCAUAGAGAAGAGGACAGUGUCGUUGGUUGUUUGCGCUUUGGUAUUUUUAAAGUUAGUUUAUUGCAAUCAGUGAAGCCGCAUUUUGUGCAAAAGAACAUGUAAUAGAUGUGUUUACCGCGAGCAGCGAACGGCGCAAUUUGCAUCGUAUUUGCGUUCAUUCUUUCUCCUUCUAUUUUUAUUUUAUUAUUCGGAUAAGAGUAAAAUAUUUUUAUUCUUUUUGUUUCGUUUAGGUAUCAACAGCGAACAGUUUCCAAGUUUGAGAAAAUGGCUUUGGGAACCUUUUGCUCGCUAUCGGGAAAGUUCCUUCGUUAUUUGUCUGUGAGUUUGAGACGCCAUAGAGAUGACCAAUAAGGAGAAAGGCCAAAGAUAAAAGUCUUGGACGGAAAGCAAAACAUUAUAUGGAAAAACACCACCUCCCCGCUAGCCACGACUAACUAGCAUUUCUUUUAUACUUUAUAGCAAGAGUUUCGAGACGCCAUCCUUGUGGUACAACUUUGCACUUACGCAUGCGCGUUUCGUAUCAUACUCUUGAGUCAAAUUUUUCUAAGUCUUUUGGCGGGAAACGUUUCUUGCAUAUAAGUUCACUAGCGCGCUCUCUCUUUCAGAUGCCUUAAAAAUGACCAGUUUUAAGAAGUGUUUAAAGAAAAAAUUUCAAUCUUUGAAGGAAGACAAAAAUUGAUGUGGAACACCGCCACCACCCCACCACCACCACU